This 253-nucleotide ribosomal RNA is filed under the name uncultured bacterium. RNAcentral describes it as "partial 16S ribosomal RNA". It matches the Rfam family "Bacterial small subunit ribosomal RNA", at positions 524 to 776 of the family's 1533-position model. The record is from RNAcentral.
UACAGGGGGUGCAAGCGUUAAUCGGAAUUACUGGGCGUAAAGCGUGCGCAGACGGUUGCGUAAGUCAGAUGUGAAAGCCCCGGGCUCAACCUGGGAAUUGCAUUUGAGACUGCGUAGCUAGGGUGCGGAAGAGGGAAGCGGAAUUUCCGGUGUAGCGGUGAAAUGCGUAGAUAUCGGAAGGAACACCAGUGGCGAAAGCGGCUUCCUGGUCCAGCACCGACGUUCAGGCACGAAAGCGUGGGGAGCAAACAGG